Molecule: long non-coding RNA, 1456 nt
Organism: Sorghum bicolor (sorghum)
Lineage: Eukaryota; Viridiplantae; Streptophyta; Magnoliopsida; Poales; Poaceae
Exons: 2
Source: RefSeq, a predicted model, not a curated record
CAUUAAAGCAGUGUGGUGUAUUAUUUUUCUUAAGUCGAACUGACAGCUGAGUCCAGAGGGGCUGAAGGAUAAAUAGAGCAGGAUGAGAAGACGACAAGCCACACUGCCACUGCAAUAAAUCAUUAGCAUGACAGGAGGGAAGUAAACAAGGCCUUGGUUUAAGGCUGAGCUGAAUGGACGAAAUGACUCAACCCUAGAGUGGGGAACGACUUCAGAACUGUGGAUGUCUAGUAGGGUACCGAAGUCAUUGCUUCUGUGGAUGCAGGACUGCAGGAGGUGUCAGAUCAUUGCAGUGUCACUUUUCAGAAUAAAGGAAAGGAAGAGAAAUGAAUAUGAUUGCAGCCUUUCACGAAGAACUGUGCUAAUGAUACUGUUUGCAGGUAGUGUUCAACAGAGCAUUAAAAAACGAGUGCUUUCCAAAGUUUUAAACACCCGCAGCGACGUAGUUCAGAAACUGAUUGUGCUACAAUAACUAAAACAACAUAAUUUGGAAUUACUUGUUCCUAGCUAAUGUUGAAACAAACACUAUUUGGUGGCACAUGGUGCUAAUAUUAGGAAAUUAGCUUAUGUUGAUAUUAUAGGGCUUGAAUGAGAUAGAUUAAUUGAUUUGGGCUAAUGUAACUGUUUUAGUGUCAUCACUUUCUGAUAUCCUUGUGUGCUUAGACAAAGGUUCUAACAGCAUAUUUAAUCCUCCCCUUGGAUCUUACUGCAGAAAGCGUAAGAGUUUCUCACAUCAGUGCACUGCAGCAGGAAAAUGUGGAAGGCUAUGCAAUACGCAGGAACAAACUAACUGGCAGAUAUCUGAAAAGUCAAACUCAGAGCAGUGGCCGAUAAUAUAUCCUGAGCCCUUAUGUUAUUAUUAUUAUAAUUUUUGCGAUUAUAAGCCCUUAUAUUAUGACGAUGCACAACCUCUGAAUGGCAUAAAAAUGGAUUGCCUCCUCUAAUUUCCUUUACUUUAUGUACCUCUUGUGCAACUCAGACAACACAUGCAGUCACUCAUAUAACUCUAGGCCUAUAUUGGAAGUGGGCCAAACUACACAAGCUGUUCAGCAUCCCCACUGAUGAACUGAAAAUUAUCCUAUGGCUUGCAGGUUCACUCAAUUUGCAAUGCAACAAAUAUGUUUGAGCUGUCCAUGGAUUGGAGCAUGAUGGUAGGUGAGAAUAUGUGUGUUACUCCCAUAGUUGGAUGAACAACCAUAGGUAAUGGAAAUUUGUGAUUUGUCCAUAGUGAGCUCCUGAAAAUCUCGAUGAUCCGAUUUUGUUCACUUAAAUAGUAUAGAUAUAGAUGUGAUUGACCAUGCAAAAGAGCCUGCACUUUCAAGUUGCCUUUCCUAGUUGCUCACUACUAGAGUUGAUUCUUUUCUUGUGCUAGACCCUUGUUGUACCUUUCAGUGAUCUAAGUUCUCGUGUAGGUAUAUGAUUCUUUACUUCUCUAUACAUUAGGUAUGUAUUAUAA